RNAcentral lists this long non-coding RNA (225 nucleotides) under Homo sapiens (human). Its description in RNAcentral is "non-protein coding lnc-CLASP2-6:1". Lineage: Eukaryota; Metazoa; Chordata; Mammalia; Primates; Hominidae. The record is from RNAcentral.
GCUUUUAAUUGGCUGCUGGGAUUACAGGCAUGAGCCCCACCGCACCUGGCCUAAGUUCACUUUUUCAAGGCAGCGGGCAGUGUUUCGGAUUUUUGUUUUAUGCCAGUUCUUUUUUUUCAAAACUCAAAGUUUUUUUUUUUUUUUUUUUGUGAUGGAGUCUCGCUCUGUCACCUAGGCUGGAGUGCAGUGGUGCGAACUUGGCUCACUGCAAGCUCUGCCUCCCGG